Molecule: ribosomal RNA, 463 nt
Filed under: Staphylococcus aureus
Lineage: Bacteria; Bacillati; Bacillota; Bacilli; Caryophanales; Staphylococcaceae
Description: bacterial SSU rRNA
Rfam family: Bacterial small subunit ribosomal RNA
Source: RNAcentral
GGUCCAGACUCCUACGGGAGGCAGCAGUAGGGAAUCUUCCGCAAUGGGCGAAAGCCUGACGGAGCAACGCCGCGUGAGUGAUGAAGGUCUUCGGAUCGUAAAACUCUGUUAUUAGGGAAGAACAUAUGUGUAAGUAACUGUGCACAUCUUGACGGUACCUAAUCAGAAAGCCACGGCUAACUACGUGCCAGCAGCCGCGGUAAUACGUAGGUGGCAAGCGUUAUCCGGAAUUAUUGGGCGUAAAGCGCGCGUAGGCGGUUUUUUAAGUCUGAUGUGAAAGCCCACGGCUCAACCGUGGAGGGUCAUUGGAAACUGGAAAACUUGAGUGCAGAAGAGGAAAGUGGAAUUCCAUGUGUAGCGGUGAAAUGCGCAGAGAUAUGGAGGAACACCAGUGGCGAAGGCGACUUUCUGGUCUGUAACUGACGCUGAUGUGCGAAAGCGUGGGGAUCAAACAGGAUUAGAU